UAUGAACGCUGGCGGCGUGCCUAAUACAUGCAAGUCGAACGCACAGCGAAAGGUGCUUGCACCUUUCAAGUGAGUGGCGAACGGGUGAGUAACACGUGGACAACCUGCCUCAAGGCUGGGGAUAACAUUUGGAAACAGAUGCUAAUACCGAAUAAAACUUAGUGUAGCAUGACACAAAGUUAAAAGGCGCUUUGGCGUCACCUAGAGAUGGAUCCGCGGUGCAUUAGUUAGUUGGUGGGGUAAAGGCCUACCAAGACAAUGAUGCAUAGCCGAGUUGAGAGACUGAUCGGCAACAUUGGGACUGAGACACGGCCCAAACUCCUACGGGAGGCUGCAGUAGGGAAUCUUCCACAAUGGGCGAAAGCCUGAUGGAGCAACGCCGCGUGUGUGAUGAAGGCUUUCGGGUCGUAAAGCACUGUUGUAUGGGAAGAACAGCUAGAAUAGGGAAUGAUUUUAGUUUGACGGUACCAUACCAGAAAGGGACGGCUAAAUACGUGCCAGCCGCCGCAGUAA
RNAcentral lists this ribosomal RNA (513 nucleotides) under uncultured bacterium. RNAcentral describes it as "partial 16S ribosomal RNA". It matches the Rfam family "Bacterial small subunit ribosomal RNA", at positions 29 to 523 of the family's 1533-position model. The record is from RNAcentral.